RNAcentral lists this ribosomal RNA (253 nucleotides) under uncultured bacterium. RNAcentral describes it as "partial 16S ribosomal RNA". It matches the Rfam family "Bacterial small subunit ribosomal RNA", at positions 524 to 776 of the family's 1533-position model. The record is from RNAcentral.
UACGUAGGGACCGAGCGUUGUCCGGAAUCAUUGGGCGUAAAGAGCGUGUAGGCGGCCACUUAAGUCCUGCGUGAAAUCUUGCGGCUCAACCGCAAGCGGUCGUGGGAAACUGGGUGGCUAGAGUGCGGGAGAGGAGAGUGGAAUUCCUGGUGUAGCGGUGGAAUGCGCAGAUAUCAGGAAGAACACCCGUGGCGAAGUCGGCUCUCUGGAACGCAACUGACGCUGAGACGCGAAAGCGUGGGGAGCAAACAGG